This 253-nucleotide ribosomal RNA is filed under the name uncultured bacterium. RNAcentral describes it as "partial 16S ribosomal RNA". It matches the Rfam family "Bacterial small subunit ribosomal RNA", at positions 524 to 776 of the family's 1533-position model. The record is from RNAcentral.
UACGAAGGGAGCUAGCGUUACUCGGAAUCACUGGGCGUAAAGCGUAUGUAGGCUGAAUUUCAAGUCAGAGGUGAAAUCCCGGGGCUCAACCCCGGAAUUGCCUUUGAAACUGUAAUUCUUGAGUAUGACAGAGGAUGGUGGAAUUUCUAGUGUAGAGGUGAAAUUCGUAGAUAUUAGAAAGAACACCAGUGGCGAAGGCGACCAUCUGGGUCAUAACUGACGCUGAGAUACGAAAGCGUGGGGAGCAAACAGG